RNAcentral lists this transfer RNA (61 nucleotides) under Camelus bactrianus (Bactrian camel). It matches the Rfam family "tRNA", at positions 6 to 65 of the family's 71-position model. Rfam says of the family: Transfer RNA (tRNA) molecules are approximately 80 nucleotides in length. Their secondary structure includes four short double-helical elements and three loops (D, anti-codon, and T loops). Further hydrogen bonds mediate the characteristic L-shaped molecular structure. tRNAs have two regions of fundamental functional importance: the anti-codon, which is responsible for specific mRNA codon recognition, and the 3' end, to which the tRNAs corresponding amino acid is attached (by aminoacyl-tRNA synthetases). tRNAs cope with the degeneracy of the genetic code in two manners: having more than one tRNA (with a specific anti-codon) for a particular amino acid; and 'wobble' base-pairing, i.e. permitting non-standard base-pairing at the 3rd anti-codon position. The record is from Rfam by way of RNAcentral. Lineage: Eukaryota; Metazoa; Chordata; Mammalia; Artiodactyla; Camelidae. RNAcentral also lists the same sequence under 2 other names.
UGUAGCUCAGUGGUAGAGUGUGUGCUUAGCAUGCAUGAGGUCCUGGGUUCAAUCCCCAGUA